This is a long non-coding RNA of Poecilia reticulata (guppy), 681 nucleotides long. RefSeq lists it as uncharacterized. The record is from RefSeq and is a predicted model, not a curated record. NCBI's taxonomy places the organism in Eukaryota, Metazoa, Chordata, Actinopteri, Cyprinodontiformes, Poeciliidae.
AGUGUUGCUGACAUUUUGUUUUAAAGCCCAUAACAAUUAUUUAUCUCUGCUUUUACCAAACUAUCACACAGCAAAUGCACGUCAGAAGAUCUCGGUGUAUAGAUCCUAAUCCACGUCUCUGAUUACAAUUUGAAAACGAAACCACUCCCUUCUGAAGCUCUGACAAAAAUGGCAGAAUGAUGCAUCUCUCGUCUUAACGAGUUCGCCAUUAAGAACCUACAGAAAUGUAAAGCGUGACACGUGACGUGGACAUACAUGGACUGUGAAGACCGCCGAAGAACACAGAGUCACCCACCUUUACAAACUGUGGCCAUGGUAACAGCAAAAUCAAAAGACGACAGCCGGAGUGAUGAAAUGCUUUUUUGUGUGUGUGCGUGUGUGUGUGUGUGUGUGUGUGCGUGCGUGUGUGUGUGCGCGUGCAUUUGUGUUCUGUGUUUUUAUGGUACCUGCACCAAAUUUAACAUCUCCAAAGCAGAGCAGGUCACAGCUGCAGCUGGCACAGUUGAAAAGAGAGGAAGACAUUCUGAAGACAUGGGAUUAUGGUCCUUCCUCUACCAAGAAAAAUGACGACAGCCUAGCAGAAACACAAAGAAACACGGGGAGAGGGGUGUCGGCCGUUCACCAUACCGUGGUUGCUCAUGCUGCAGUCACAUGAAGCCCCAGCAUGCGCUUCAAAAGAAA